RNAcentral lists this ribosomal RNA (463 nucleotides) under uncultured bacterium. RNAcentral describes it as "partial 16S ribosomal RNA". It matches the Rfam family "Bacterial small subunit ribosomal RNA", at positions 28 to 507 of the family's 1533-position model. The record is from RNAcentral.
GAUGAACGCUGGCGGCGUGCUUAACACAUGCAAGUCGAACGGUGAACCUCGUCGGAGGGGAUCAGUGGCGAACGGGUGAGUAACACGUGGGCAACCUGCUCCCGGCUCUGGGAUAACUCCAAGACAUCGGGGCUAAUACCGGAAGUUCACCGCUUCCCGCAAGGGUGGUGGUGAAAAGGGUUCGCUGCAUGAGAUGGGCCCGCGGACUAUCAGCUAGUCAGCCGAGUAGAGGCCUACCAAGGCGACGACGGGUAGCCGGCCUGGGAGCGUGACCGGCCACCCUGGGCCUGCGGCACGGCCCAGACUCCAACGGGACGCAGCGGUGGGGAAUAUUGCGCAGUGAGCCGGAGCCUGACACAGCGGCGCCGCGUGCGGGAUGCCGUGCUUCGGGUUGUAAACCUCUUUCAGCGGAACCGAGGCGCAAGUGACGGUACCUGCAGAGGAAGCACCGGCUAACUACGUG